Molecule: long non-coding RNA, 517 nt
Organism: Sinocyclocheilus rhinocerous
Lineage: Eukaryota; Metazoa; Chordata; Actinopteri; Cypriniformes; Cyprinidae
Exons: 3
Source: RefSeq, a predicted model, not a curated record
UGUAUUUCAGUUCAUUUAACAGAUCCGUGAUUUACAAUAAGGAACCCGGGCAAAACAGGAUGAGGUCUUUGGAUUUCAUAUAAUCUCAUUUCUCCAGCAGUUUAUUUUAUAACGCUAAUUAAAUCUCCUGUUGCAGGAGCGCACGGAUGACAAGAAGAAAGUAUUUCAGUUAGCUGCAGCACAUCUGCAGGCACCUGAGGGCGGCGAUAAAAAGCCGGAACAAGAGAGCGACAUUACUAGUAUGGAGUCGUCCGCCCGCUCCACCUCCCCUCCACGCCGCAACGGCAGCAUCACCAACUUCGAAUCUCCCGUUCGCCAUGGCAACAGCAUCCGGACCAUAACGCAGUCGGCUUCACGGCCUGACAUCCCUAGAGCUGCUGGAGCGACGCAGAGCCCCACUGUCCCUGUGCGGCAGAAACACAAAGCGGAGCCCGUGGCCAGUAGUUCUUUCAGAAUGUACAGCAGCCCCUCAGUUCCUCAAAGACAAGUACGACGAGUGGAGUACAUACCCAUCAGG